AUACAUGCAGUCGAGCGGACCGACGGGAGCUUGCUCCCUUAGGUCAGCGGCGGACGGGUGAGUAACACGUGGGUAACCUGCCUGUAAGACUGGGAUAACUCCGGGAAACCGGGGCUAAUACCGGAUGCUUGAUUGAACCGCAUGGUUCAAUCAUAAAAGGUGGCUUUUAGCUACCACUUACAGAUGGACCCGCGGCGCAUUAGCUAGUUGGUGAGGUAACGGCUCACCAAGGCGACGAUGCGUAGCCGACCUGAGAGGGUGAUCGGCCACACUGGGACUGAAACACGGCCCAAACUCCUACGGGAGGCAGCAGUAGGGAAUCUUCCGCAAUGGACGAAAGUCUGACGGAACAACGCCGCGUGAGUGAUGAAGGUUUUCGGAUCGUAAAACUCUGUUGUUAGGGAAAAACAAGUACCGUUCGAAUAGGGCGGUACCUUGACGGUACCUAACCAGAAAGCCACGGCUAACUACGUGCCAGCAGCCGCGGUAAUACGUAGGUGGCAAGCGUUGUCCGGAAUUAUUGGGCGUAAAGCGCGCGCAGGCGGUUUCUUAAGUCUGAUGUGAAAGCCCCCGGCUCAACCGGGGAGGGUCAUUGGAAACUGGGGAACUUGAGUGCAAAAGAGGAGAGUGGAAUUCCACGUGUAGCGGUGAAAUGCGUAGAGAUGUGGAGGAACACCAGUGGCGAAGGCGACUCUCUGGUCUGUAACUGACGCUGAGGCCGCGAAAGCGUGGGGAGCGAACAGGAUUAGAUACCCCUGGUAGUCCACGCCGUAAACGAUGAGUGCUUAGUGUUAGAGGGUUUCCGCCCUUUAUUGCUGCAGCAAACGCAUUAAGCACUCCCGCCUGGGGAGUACGGGUCGCAAAGACU
Molecule: ribosomal RNA, 868 nt
Filed under: Bacillus licheniformis
Lineage: Bacteria; Bacillati; Bacillota; Bacilli; Caryophanales; Bacillaceae
Description: bacterial SSU rRNA
Rfam family: Bacterial small subunit ribosomal RNA
Source: RNAcentral